CGGCGACGGGGUGAGUAACACGUGGAUAACCUACCUAUAAGACUGGGAUAACUUCGGGAAACCGGAGCUAAUACCGGAUAAUAUAUUGAACCGCAUGGUUCAAUAGUGAAAGACGGUUUUGCUGUCACUUAUAGAUGGAUCCGCGCCGCAUUAGCUAGUUGGUAAGGUAACGGCUUACCAAGGCAACGAUGCGUAGCCGACCUGAGAGGGUGAUCGGCCACACUGGAACUGAGACACGGUCCAG
Molecule: ribosomal RNA, 244 nt
Filed under: uncultured Staphylococcus sp.
Lineage: Bacteria; Bacillati; Bacillota; Bacilli; Caryophanales; Staphylococcaceae
Description: partial 16S ribosomal RNA
Rfam family: Bacterial small subunit ribosomal RNA
Source: RNAcentral